This 460-nucleotide ribosomal RNA is filed under the name uncultured bacterium. RNAcentral's name for it is "partial 16S ribosomal RNA". It matches the Rfam family "Bacterial small subunit ribosomal RNA", at positions 338 to 795 of the family's 1533-position model. The record is from RNAcentral.
CCUACGGGAGGCAGCAGUGAGGAAUAUUGGUCAAUGGACGAGAGUCUGAACCAGCCAAGUAGCGUGAAGGAUGACUGCCCUAUGGGUUGUAAACUUCUUUUAUAUGGGAAUAAAACGUUCCACGUGUGGGAUUUUGUAUGUACCAUAUGAAUAAGGAUCGGCUAACUCCGUGCCAGCAGCCGCGGUAAUACGGGGGAUCCGAGCGUUAUCCGGAUUUAUUGGGUUUAAAGGGAGCGUAGGGGGAUUGUUAAGUCAGUUGUGAAAGUUUGCGGCUCAACCGUAAAAUUGCAGUUGAAACUGGCAGUCUUGAGGACAGUAGAGGUGUGCGGAAUUCGUGGUGUAGCGGUGAAAUGCUUAGAUAUCACGAAGAACUCCGAUUGCGAAGGCAGUUCACUGGACUGCAACUGACACUGAGGCUCGAAAGUGUGGGUAUCAAACAGGAUUAGAUACCCCAGUAGUC